UCGAUCAACAACAAUUUGACACUGUUAUUUAACAGUACUAUACCCUAUUUUCAUCCAAUGAGCACAAGGCGCCAGUUUGGAAUAUCAGAUUGAGGCAAAUAAUUGGUCAACCGAUCCCAGACUGCCAUCAUACAGCCAUCUUUAUUACACAACACAGAUGUCUGCCACUCCUGCUGACCUCGAAAAGAUGGGGAACCUGCCUGUGAGUCCUCGUUUGAUCCUGCUUGGUGUUAAUCCGGGCCAAUGGAUGAAACAAUGGAUGAUCAGCCUCGAAGGCCGAAUAAUCUGCGAGGGUGUGCAGCCAACCUUUAUCUCUGGACUUGCUGCAUUGUUCUCUUCGUAUUACAUUUUUAAUUUGCAGUACCAAGAGGAAGCAGCAUCCACACUAGAAUUCCUUCAAAGGUAACAAGUUUGGACUUAUUUUAUUUAUUUCUAAUUAAUAUGUUAGUAUUAGUAUGGUGACAAUAGAAUCCUCAAGCCAUCCUUACUUUCUUCUUUGAGCCGAACACAGUCGGAGUUAUAAAGAGAAAAUAAUAUUCUGGCUUCCCAGCUUUGCAAUGGCAUUGAAUAGAUCCCGAGUUUUUGAAGCUCCAAAAACCGCAUCCAUCCAUCAUAAAAUCCAUACGAC
This is a long non-coding RNA of Carassius auratus (goldfish), 628 nucleotides long. RefSeq lists it as uncharacterized. The transcript is spliced from 4 exons. NCBI's taxonomy places the organism in Eukaryota, Metazoa, Chordata, Actinopteri, Cypriniformes, Cyprinidae. The record is from RefSeq and is a predicted model, not a curated record.